AAAUCCAAGAACUUUAAAUGCCUUAAAUUCCCGAUAAAUUCAGGCGAUGACCGAAUAUAUUUCGGGAUUUAAAGCAUUUGAAGUUCUGGAUUUAUC
Molecule: microRNA precursor, 96 nt
Filed under: Picea abies (Norway spruce)
Lineage: Eukaryota; Viridiplantae; Streptophyta; Pinopsida; Pinales; Pinaceae
Description: miR3709b stem-loop (pab-MIR3709b)
Source: miRBase by way of RNAcentral